GAUGAACGCUGGCGGCGUGCCUAAUACAUGCAAGUCGAGCGAACAGACGAGGAGCUUGCUCCUCUGACGUUAGCGGCGGACGGGUGAGUAACACGUGGAUAACCUACCUAUAAGACUGGGAUAACUUCGGGAAACCGGAGCUAAUACCGGAUAAUAUAUUGAACCGCAUGGUUCAAUAGCGAAAGACGGUUUUGCUGUCACUUAUAGAUGGAUCCGCGCCGCAUUAGCUAGUUGGUAAGGUAACGGGUUACCAAGGCAACGAGGCGUAGCCGACCUGAGAGGAUGAUCGGCCACACUGGCACUGGCACACGGUCCAGACUCCUACGGGAGGCCGCAGUAGGGAAUCUUCCGCAAAGGGCGAAAGCCUGACGGAGCAACGCCGCGUGAGUAAUGAAGGUCUUCGGAUCGUAAAACUCUGUUAUUAGGGAAGAACAAAUGUGUAAGUAACUAUGCACGUCUUGACGGUACCUAAUCAGAAAGCCACGGCUAACUACGUG
Molecule: ribosomal RNA, 497 nt
Filed under: uncultured bacterium
Lineage: Bacteria
Description: partial 16S ribosomal RNA
Rfam family: Bacterial small subunit ribosomal RNA
Source: RNAcentral